Molecule: non-coding RNA, 44 nt
Organism: Mus musculus (house mouse)
Lineage: Eukaryota; Metazoa; Chordata; Mammalia; Rodentia; Muridae
Source: Rfam
AAAAAGGCUCUUAGAGCCACAUACCAUACACACAAAGGCCUUCU